Molecule: long non-coding RNA, 3209 nt
Filed under: Homo sapiens (human)
Lineage: Eukaryota; Metazoa; Chordata; Mammalia; Primates; Hominidae
Description: HSALNT0353246
Source: RNAcentral
UGGGUAGAGUGUUCAAUGUCCAUUUAAUUAAAUCACCAAAUAUUACGGCCCCAGCCUGUGAGGUUAUUGAGACCCCAGUGAAUAGCAGCAACCUAUUGGCUGCAGGAAAAUGGUACAACUCAGGAGUUUAAUCUGUUCUAUUCCCACAAUGUGUGCUUAUAACAAGGAGAGGAAGGAAAGCAAGAGAUGUUCUACCGUAUCUUGAUGAAUAUUACCUAGGAAUUACUCCUUCAUUUUCGAUCAACAGUGUCCCUAAAACUUCAUUGAAAGCAUAGACAUUUUAGUCAAUGAGCCACCAGAAGGGCAACCUCACCAGACCCUUGGACCUGACUCAUUCAGCCUUUGAGUCUUUAUCAGUCCCAUGUCCUCACUUGGUGAUCUUCACUGGUGAAACUGGGUCGUAAUAUGCUUGAGAAAAUGAGUGUGUCCCUUCAUCAGGGAGAUCACCAAGAGGGGCACAGGGCCUGGUGUGGCCUUGGAAAGUCAGGUUGUUGUGUAAGUGGAACCUAUGGGAGCAGCCUUUUGAAAAGGAAAAGUUGCAACAAUGUUGUAACACGAGUGCAAUAUGUGAGACUUUUGCAUAAUGAACACUUCAGUGCCUUACAAAACAACACAAAACAAAAAAAGGGAGUUGUGCUUUAGUUGAAAGAACUUGGGUGUUGGAUUUAGUAGACCUGAGUUCAUCUCCCACUCCCCUGUUACUUAGCCCUCUGGGUGACCUGGGGCAAGACACUGCAUCUCCCUGUGCCUGAAUUUCCACACCUGUCAAGGGGCAAUAAUGGUGCUGUUUUUGUAUUGUGUGUGGAUUUAAUUACAAUUGUAGGAUGUCAGGCACAAAGCUCAGCACAAAAUAACAGCUCAAUAAAUAGUGUGUCUCUGUGGCUGGUGGCCCAUUUAGCUGUCUCAUUUAUUCUACUUAAUAUUUUUGGCUGGGCGCCAUGGCUCACGCCUGUAAUCCCGGUAUUUUGAGGUGCUGAGGCAGGUGGAUUACCUGAGGUCAAGAGUUCGAGACCAGCCUGGCCAACACGGUGAAACUCCAUCUCUACUAAAAAAAAAAUACAAAAAUUAACCAGGUGUGGUGGCGGUUGUCUAUAAUCCCAGCUUGGGAGGCUCACGCAGAAGAACCACUUGAACCCGAAAAGUGAAGUUUGCAGUGAGCCGAGAUUGCACCACUGCACCCCAGCCUGGGUGACAGAGGCAGACUUCAUCGCUAAAAAACAAACAAACAAACAAACAAACAAAUGUAGAAUUUUCCUGUCCCUCCCUAGAAACUUUCAGUGCUGAAAGGACCCUCGGAGGUCAUCAAGUCCCACUGUCUUUGUUAGAUGAAGAAAUUCAGUCCAAGGAGGUUACGUGACUUGCUCGAGGCCACUCAGCUUUCUGACCCUGCUCCUCGAACCCUCCAUCAGACCUUUUGGAUGUGUCUGCUCUGCGGGCACAUCCUUCUAGGCUGAGCAGUGCUGACUCUAAUUUCAGACUCGUUUCGUAGUCUGUUGACAAUUACGUUGUCCAUCAUGCCAUUUAGAGCUCUGACUUUAUAGCUUUGGGAAGCACCUUAAAAUAUAAUUGCAAACACUCUGCCCAUCCAAAUGUGUACUUCCCAUGCCUAAUAAUGAGGCUUUUAAGUGGUGGCACAGGAGAGCGGCAAGAUGAUAGCUCAUGCGAAAUGAGAAAUUGGAGCAAAUGGGAUUUGGUAAUGGACUUUGCAGUGACACGAGUUGUCUGAUAGCUGGUCUGUGGUUAUCUUGGUACAUUUUGUAUUUUGAAAGGCACAAAAUGUCAGGUCAUUGCUCAAAUACUGGUUAAGAUUUUGAUUAUUUUGCAGAAUUGUAGCAUAGUACCUCAGGAUUGACAUUUUGCCCUCAAAAUUUUAUGUUCAAUGUUCCUGUCCUUUGUUUAGAAGUUGCACUUUCUAUUGUUUGUAAGUCUAUCAAAAAAAAAAUAGAAAGUUUUUCUUUCCUGUUGCCUAAAUGAUUUGAUUGUUUAGUUCUUGGAGUAGAAACACCAGCUGCCCUUAGCCUGGGUGCAAGCCAGCAGAGAAGGGGAAAGGAAUGCAAGAGUGAGUAAGAUGUGGCCCUUAUCCUCAAGGAAUUCAGAGUCCCAUGGGGGAGAUAGGCCUGGUUUCUAUAAACAAUGAUGCAAGACAGAACAUGAUGUGCCAGGAGGGACAGAGUGCCAAGGUGGGGACAAAGGAAUGACGAGUCCCGAAAUAGACCUGUGGGAAAGGUGUUGUGAUGCUGGGAGGCUGGACUGGAUCUUAAAGAAGGUGGGGAUUAUAACAUAUAGGGAAAGGGUGGCAGGCGGGGAGAUGGGGGCAGAGAGAGAGUAUAAGAAGGCAGGGAUUCCAGGCAAAGAGAAAAAGUUGAGCAGAGGGUGGAGGCUGGUAGGCGAGGAGAGGUAAAUGGGGUCCCUUCAUGAAAGGACUUGGAAGCCACGCUAUGGUGUUGUGUCCCUAGGCCAGUGUCCACAUCCUGCUCACAUUUGGGACAUCUGUGAGGCAGGGUGCCUCCUUUUUGUCCCUCCAAGAGGACAGUUGGGGGACUUGGCCUCUGGCCGCCUCAAGUUGGGUCAGCACCUGCUGGGCCUCAUCCUGGUUCAUCGUGCAUCAAUGGGAGCGCACCUGGGUUCUGCUGACAUGUGAGAGCUUCUUCACCGAGGGGUUCAGAAAAGUGUGCUCAUGGCCUGUAGAUCUGGAUUCAAAGGGAGAUGAGAAAAAUAGGAACUGAGCCCGUGGCUUGCCUCACCCACUUCCUGAGCCUGCGCAAGGGACAAGACUUUCCUGUGUGGCCUUCUUACGGCAGUCCACAGGGAAGUGGCCUCAUUUUCUGUGUCUGUCCUGCCCAGCGCCCCCACUCUCCUGUGCUGGUCCCAGGCCAUCCCUUAGCCAGAGUGCAGAACUCCAGACCCCCAAUAUUCUCUCAUAUCCUCAGAAUCUUCAGCUUCCAUCCAUGGAUGUUGGCUGAAUCCUGAGUGGGGUCGUAGAAAGAUCUGGUCCUGUGAGUAGGGGGGCGAGGAGGAAGGCAGGGACUUCAGCUGGGCUGUCUACAACCUGAGUCUAAAACACCUAAAGACAAGCACAACUUGCCCCCGCUAGGACGAAUUUCUUGCUCCAGACCGCCUCACUGCAUCUCUAGGGCCAUGUGUAUUCCUGCUAUUUGGCCACAUUCCUUGAGAAAAAUUGCCUAUUAAAAGAAUUUCCUUAUUCACCA